CUAAUCCAAACCCUAAUCCAAACCCUAAUCCAACCCUAAACUCUAAUCCAAAUCCUAAAUCCUAAACCAAACCUUAAAUCAAACCCUAACCAAAUCCUAGUCCAAACUCUAAUCCAAAUCCUAAAUCAAACCCUAAUCCAAACCCUAAAUCAAAUCCUAACCAAACCCUAAAUCCUAAUCCAAAUCCUAAUCCAAAUCCUAAAUCCUAAUCCAAACCCUAAUCCAAACCCUAAUCCUA
RNAcentral lists this long non-coding RNA (238 nucleotides) under Physcomitrium patens. RNAcentral describes it as "long non-coding RNA (PPAT_LNC007462)". The record is from RNAcentral. Lineage: Eukaryota; Viridiplantae; Streptophyta; Bryopsida; Funariales; Funariaceae.